UUGAAUAAACUUGAACAGGUUGUUGCUGAUCCUCUCUCUCAAAGGAGGAGGGUAUGUGCACACUUGUCAUCUUUAUUUCUCCAAAUUGUGCACUUCCUGUAGAUCUGGAAUUUGUUUAUUUGUGAAAAAUCAGAUAGAUUUUUUGAGGAUUGCUGGCAAUUUAUUAAAAGUCGUCAGCUUUUGCCUCUUGUAUUUCCAGAUCUAUGCUCUUAUUUUCACAAUGUUUCAGAAUGCUAGAUUGGGUCUUUUGUACCUAUAUAAGUUGAAUAUA
This 271-nucleotide unclassified non-coding RNA is filed under the name uncultured Basidiomycota. RNAcentral's name for it is "sequence contains ITS1". The record is from RNAcentral. Lineage: Eukaryota; Fungi; Basidiomycota.